GACAGUGGUAGCUCAGUGGUUAAGACAUGGGACUACUGAUCAGAAGGUUGUGAGGUCAAAUCUCAACGCUGCCU
Molecule: non-coding RNA, 74 nt
Organism: Ameiurus melas (black bullhead)
Lineage: Eukaryota; Metazoa; Chordata; Actinopteri; Siluriformes; Ictaluridae
Source: the annotation of a GenBank genome assembly